Molecule: ribosomal RNA, 253 nt
Filed under: uncultured bacterium
Lineage: Bacteria
Description: partial 16S ribosomal RNA
Rfam family: Bacterial small subunit ribosomal RNA
Source: RNAcentral
UACGAAGGGGGCUAGCGUUGUUCGGAUUUACUGGACGUAAAGCGCACGUAGGCGGAUUGUUAAGUCGGGGGUGAAAUCCUGGAGCUCAACUCCAGAAUUGCCUUCGAUACUGGCUUUCUAGAGGCUGGAAGAGGUUAGUGGAAUUCCCAGUGUAGAGGUGAAAUUCGUAGAUAUUGGGAAGAACACCAGUGGCGAAGGCGGCUAACUGGUCCAGAUCUGACGCUGAGGUGCGAAAGCGUGGGGAGCAAACAGG